GUUUUACUUUGAAUGCUGCACAUACUGAGUUUAACCCUUCUACUGCUGUAGAUGUAACUCCACCAGCAUCAUUGGGACUGGCUGGAACAAGAGUUGUGGGCUGGCUAAUGUCAAUUCUGUGCAAAUCUCUACAGAACUGCGGUCAUCUGACGCUCUCAGCCAAUGAAUGGAUGGCGGGUCGAUGUCCGGUUUCUGCAGAGAUUUCAUCACAGGCUAUGG
Non-coding RNA from Pelobates cultripes (western spadefoot toad), 219 nucleotides. The record is from the annotation of a GenBank genome assembly. NCBI's taxonomy places the organism in Eukaryota, Metazoa, Chordata, Amphibia, Anura, Pelobatidae.